AAAUUACAGUCCAGUUGCAGUUGUACGUGGUACUUCUCUGCUCAAAACCCACCCAUUAAAUCACGCUUCUCUUCGGAACUGCAAAGUUAUGAAGGGUGUGAUCCUGAACUUUUCUCAGUAGAGCGCACUGUCAGUUUGCUGGUGUGCCCCGGACACUGAGGUGGUGUGCAAACAGGAAGGGGUGGAGCCUGAGGUGGUGUGCAAACAGGAAGUGGUUGAAGAAACAGGAAGCUGGCCUGCUGAAGCUCACUGCUUUGGGACGGCGGUGGCCAUGGUAACGAUGUUCUGGGCCUGCUUCAGCGAGGGCAUGUCGAUCAUGCUACCACGGAAGAAAGCGCAGAGCAUCAGACUGCCGCUCCCCUGGAUGAGGACAUUAGCGCCGGUAAACGCCUCAGUGUCGCAGCUCCAGGGCGAACGAGUGGGAGGGGCGCGCAGACGCGGCUCCGGAACGCGUUUUACGCAGGAGCGUGUACCUUGCCCAACUUCUGGUGCUCCUGGAAAGCGGAGAUCAGGUCCCGGGCCCACCGGACCCUCUCUGGACUGGGGGAGAACUCCUCCUGCACGGUCUGGAUCUGGCUGGGAUGGAUGACUUGUUUUCCUUAAAAGAUAAAAUAAAAAAAUAAAAAAAUGAUUAAAUAGUAAAGACAUAUAAAUGAAUUCG
Conger conger (European conger) is the source of this 661-nucleotide long non-coding RNA. RefSeq lists it as uncharacterized. Lineage: Eukaryota; Metazoa; Chordata; Actinopteri; Anguilliformes; Congridae. The record is from RefSeq and is a predicted model, not a curated record. The transcript is spliced from 3 exons.